GGCUUUCUACUCCUGUAAAGAGUUAGUCUUGGAACCUUACAGGGGCAGUUCUCCCUGUCUCAUAGAGUCACUAUGAGAAUAUUGACUAUGUCAGCGAGUAUGGUUUUGCUAUCAAGAAUAAUAAAUAGCUUGCUCAUUGGCAAUUGUUCACAAGGUGGGUACAUAAGCUUUACAUAUAUCUACUUUAUUCCGCAAACUUCUCAUUGAAGAUCAAAUGGUGAAGUUUAGCAGAUAAAACGUAAUGCUCAGUGUCACUAAAUUAGCUUAGAACCUUGCUGAGGCGUCCUUCCUGAGGCAUAUUCUUAAAUUGGUGGCCAGCAGCUUGCUACUGUGAUUUAGUCCUAAGGUGCUUAGAAGGAAAUGCUCAAGAAUUGUUUGCUAGCCAUUAGCAACAAUUCUCAGAGAACAUACUUAGUACAAUAACAUGGACUUCAGGAAAUAUCACUGGGUUGGGGGGGGGGUACUUUGCUUGAAGGUGACUAGCUUUGACAUUUUAGAAACUGUGACUAAUCUGUUCUUACUAUUUGUAUGUAGUUUAAAAAUGUGACUCAGAGCAGUGAGUUUUUUAAAAGCACUCAUCCAAAAGCUGGGAAUAAGUGGUGGUGGGUGGUUCUCUCGAUAAUAAUGCUAUACAGAGGUGCUUGCAUCGUAUUUCAUAGUCUUAUUAAACCAAAAUUACUACUUUCAAUGAGAACAGCCUGAAGUUCAGAGGUGUGAUGCCAGAAUGCAUUUUCGUACUGUCGUACUGUUAGGCCCUUGGAACAGAUAGCGGUGCUUUUUCUGAAAGAUGAAAGAAAUGCAGUGGGUUCUCUCCAAGGUUGUAAACCUACGAAGAAUGCAUAACAGUCUCACUUUUCCCCAGUAGACAGCUGCGUGUGACUAGUUUCGGACUUUUAACCUUAACGGGGUUGCAUGUUUAUUGUUAAUCAUUGUCAGCUGCAGUGACAUGAUCUCACAAGUCCUGCAUUUUAUGGUCUUUCCCUAAAUGAUCUUGGACAGGUUUGAGAGAGCCAGGAUGUUUGUUCUGGGCCUUUAUUUGGUUUGGCUUUAGCUGAUAAUGCAGUGUUCUGUCAGCUAGUGCAGUUCUCAAAUGACUGCUAAUUAGGGAAAGAAUUCAAAGGAUUGACUGUUUCUAAUCAUCUGUCAUUGCUGCUAGAUAAUGAUUGGCAAUUUUAAAGACUCAGCUGUGGAAAUCUGUUUGGUAAAGCACCAGCUGUAAAAAGAGUUGCUUUUGAACACCAGUGCUGAGAAGAGAGUUUUUUGGUGGGUAGAAGAGUGGACUGGAGCAUAAUCAGAGUUGGGGAGGAAUGCAAAACGAUAUAGUAUCCCUUAUGGAUGGUGCAUGUGCAACAGGGAACUCUUAAAACAGCGAGGGAGAAGAAAACAGGAGCCAGAAUAAGGUUGAUCUGCUUUUUGUGCACUGUGGCAUGCUAGGCAUAUUAGUGACUAAAAUGUCUUCUCCCUUAAAAAUUUAGAAUCCUUACUACCCUAGUAAGGUGUAGCUUCCUUGCCCCAACUUAAAACUCGGUGAGGACUCGGGGAAGAAGGCGAACUACAGGAUUGCAGGAAAACAACUGCUGCAGUGUUGGGUACUGUAGAGUGGGGAGGGCAUCUUGGUCGACUCCUGUUGCGGUUGGUCAUUCCCGCCUGAGAAUGAAAGAUAUUUGAAAUAGGAAGUAGGAGGGAGGUGUGCCUUUACAUGAAAAGAGAACUGAUGUUGACAUUCAUUUGGUAAGGUAAAGGUUGUCACAUACCUUCACAUAAGGGAUAGUAUAUUUUGGGUUGCAGUUAAAUGUCUGUGCUCAGACUGGUGGAAGGAAUAGUUGGGCAUUUGUAUUUGAGAGAAAACACCGUUUUCAUGCUAAUUUAGGUUUUAGACUCUUUCCCCUGAAGUUGCCUCCUUUUUUUUAAUACUGUAAUUUGUCCCCCAGUCUUUUGUCUUUGGUUUUUUACUCUUUUAAGAUUUUGAAGUUAACUAGCAUUUUCAACCUUUCAUUUUAUGCCUUUGCCUUUUAUUUUAACUUUGUCUUAAUUAUUCUUUAGGUAAGAAUUAUUGGUGUUGGCUGAUAAUGGAAUGCUCGUUUGGUUGAAGUGGAAUAAGACUUUUAUCUCAAGACAACACAGCAUGAGCCAACCAAAAAGAACCACAACUUGUUCAGACUGAUCAAGAGUCUAGGAUCAAGUGAGCUGAGUCCAGAAAACCAGUGAGGAGUGAGCAGAGCAAGGAGGAAUGACCAACCAAUCCUUUUAUCUUUAAUAAAGACAGAUAUUUUGAAA
This is a long non-coding RNA of Echinops telfairi (small Madagascar hedgehog), 2277 nucleotides long. RefSeq lists it as uncharacterized. Lineage: Eukaryota; Metazoa; Chordata; Mammalia; Afrosoricida; Tenrecidae. The record is from RefSeq and is a predicted model, not a curated record. The transcript is spliced from 3 exons.